Molecule: long non-coding RNA, 1259 nt
Organism: Cyprinus carpio carpio
Lineage: Eukaryota; Metazoa; Chordata; Actinopteri; Cypriniformes; Cyprinidae
Source: Ensembl
AGCCAAUUCGGAGUCUCAGGACAACGUUUAGUCUGCGUCAGGUAGUGUCUGGAAAAGGAAGGAUGACCAGUCCUGCUAAAGUGCAAAAAGAGGGUGAAGAGAUUCGAAAGUAUCACCCUGAAAGCUGUCAAGGAAUAGUUCUGCGUUUUUCACUGCUGUCCUUCAGAGCACCAGGCAGGAGUACAACAGAGCAGUCGUUUUUGCCAUGGAAAAGCAAGCCCUCUUCAUUCAAGCUGAAAAGAACGGCAACCUGGUGUGGCUGCUGAACAUCAGGCGCAGCAUAAGCUUCUCUGAUCCAGACGGCUUUGAUGUCUUGUGCUCUCGUGGGACCAGCGUAGAGGUGACCAGGCUGUCUUUUCUGCGGAGCGCGCCACCAAGCUACAAAAGGAUGACUGUAGCAGAGGUGAAGGCCUUAGGUCCGAGGCAGAAGGUGCGAGUCACAGAGCCGUAUACCUUGCUAAUGUUGUGUUUGUGUCCGGAAUGGGGGAGAUAAAGCUGAUGUUGUGGGACAGCUUCAUCAACGCUGCUGAGGCCGGCGUCUCCUACGCCUUCAAGAACCUUUCUACCAGAGAGCGAGACGGGUGCCUUUGCUCUGUACUGGUCCAUCCAGCAGCAUCGAGCAGAUCGCAGACUUGGAGGUGGCGGAGCGAGCAACCAACCUGGAAGAAGAAAGAUCAACAGCGCUUUUCAGCGCCACAAUAAAAGGCAUAGAAGUCACUAUUCAACGCCGCUGUUCCAGCUGCCACUACAAGCAGAAGGAGUUUGUGGAGAAGUUAAAGACGCACAGGUGCGAGGGCUGCAAAAUGAAGCAACAGUCGUUGUCUUACUCCACCAGCUUUGGAGGUAAAGCCACAGUGUCCACUGAGAACAGCGAGGAAACUGUGCAGCUAUCCAGCUCGGCGCUCUCCACCUAUCUGCGAUCGAGGAUCAUUUUUUGCAGUCUUCGGCAGUUGACCUAAAACUUAACGUGGAUGGUUUCCUUCUGGCCAUCCAGCCAGCGGAGGCCAGGUGGGCUGUUAGCGCAGAAGAGCAGUGGGACUCCGAUGCAGAUGAAGGCGAGGCACAGCCAGCAGAGCAAGGUUACAGAGAAACCGUAGAGGUAGGUGAGGCACAGCGAGCAGAGCAAGGUGAUGGAGAAACCGUAGAGGCAGGCGAGGCAGCGUCUGCUGCUUCGGUUGCUUGAAGAUGUGAUCCGAGUUCAGUUUUGUUAAGAAGAUACGGUUUGUCAAAUGCCUUUUUGUUCAGGAAACAGGUUAUUU